RNAcentral lists this unclassified non-coding RNA (404 nucleotides) under soil metagenome. RNAcentral's name for it is "partial contains 5.8S ribosomal RNA, internal transcribed spacer 2, and large subunit ribosomal RNA". The stretch from base 1 to 122 matches the Rfam family "5.8S ribosomal RNA", at positions 35 to 154 of the family's 154-position model. The record is from RNAcentral.
GAUGAAGAACGUAGCAAAAUGCGAUACUUGGUGUGAAUUGCAGAAUCCCGUGAACCAUCGAGUUUUUGAACGCAAGUUGCGCCCGAAGCCUUUUGGCCGAGGGCACGUCUGCCUGGGCGUCACGCAUCGCGUCGCCCCCCACAAUUCUCCGUAAAGGGAACAUGUGUUUUGGGGGCGGAUAUUGGUCUCCCGUGCUCAUGGCGUGGUUGGCCGAAAUAGGAGUCCUUUCGAUGGACGCACGAACUAGUGGUGGUCGUAAAAACCCUCGUCUUUUGUUUCGUGCUGUUGCUCGCGAGGUAAACUCUUUAAAAACCCCAAUGUGUCGUCUCUUGACGACGCUUCGACCGCGACCCCAGGUCAGGCGGGACUACCCGCUGAGUUUAAGCAUAUCAAUAAGCGGAGGA